GAGGGUUUGCCCAGCCUCUCCCCGGGGGUCGGGGGGAGGAGCGCAGGGCUCGUGGGGGCUCAGCCAGGCCUGGGCUGCAGAGGAGGCUUCCCCACCACAGCUGUGUUGAGCACCCCUGUCUCUGUGGGGGCUGGGCUGGCUGGGGACAGAGGCCCCCAAAGGGGUGGGCCAUCUCCUUGGAAUCAGUGGGUCCACAUCACAGCCUGAACUCCAAGCAUCUGAGUUUCCCAAUAGGCUUUUCACAACCAAGCUUUUCAGCCUGGAGGCUCCGGGUGGCCCACAAACAUCUCACCGGAGAAAACCGGGAGAGAAGCCGCAAUGUCUCCGCAGGUGCCCCGGCUCCGCCUUCGCCAGGCCGGUGCGGUGUGGCCGAGGGGGCUCCUCCGAGAAUUCCGGGGUGCAGAGGAGAAGCUCUACUCCGAGCUUCCCCACGUCCCCCUGGUGGCACCUACCCCGGGUCCCAGAGGAGCCCAGGCCCAUCCUGGCUCAGGGCUGCGUCCAGGGUUUGCCUGGACAUCCCUUGUCCCCGCCAGGGCAAGCAAGCCCUGCUGAGGCUGCUUCUGAGCCCGACUGCCAGCGGGACGGCCCCACUCCAUCCUGGCUCCCUAAAUCCCGCGGGGGCUGCCUGGCCCUCCCCUGCGUGGGCAGCGAUGAUGGGGCUUAGGGAUGUGUCCUCUGCAAUGCCCCGGCCAGCUGCUCACUCCAGCUCGGGGCCCCUGGCCAGCCUCCCGGCUUCUCUCUCCACCACUGGCUUUUGUCUCUCUCUGACUCUGUCUCCCUUGGUCUCUGUCUGUCUAUCUCUCUUUGUCUCGCUUGGUAUGUCUCUGUCUUCCUCUUUCUUUCUGUCUCUGUCUCCAUCUGGCUCUGUUUCUGUCUCUGUCUCCCUCUGUCUGUGUCUCCUGUUUCUGUCUCUAUCUGCCUCUAUCUCUGUUUCCCCAAGCCUCCCUGUCCCUGUGUCCUUACCUCACUGUCUCUCUCUGUCUCUCAUCUUCUUCUAUGUCUCUGUCUGUCUCUUUCUGUCUCCCUCUUUGUUUCCGUCUCCCUGUCUAUCUCCCUCGAUCUGUCUGCUGUCUCUGUCUCCCUUUGUCUUCCUCUAUCUCUCUCAAGUCUCCCUGUCUCUGUCUCCCUAUCU
Piliocolobus tephrosceles (Ugandan red Colobus) is the source of this 1132-nucleotide long non-coding RNA. The record is from Ensembl. Lineage: Eukaryota; Metazoa; Chordata; Mammalia; Primates; Cercopithecidae.